Molecule: ribosomal RNA, 432 nt
Filed under: uncultured bacterium
Lineage: Bacteria
Description: bacterial SSU rRNA
Rfam family: Bacterial small subunit ribosomal RNA
Source: RNAcentral
AACGAACGCUGGCGGCAGGCUUAACACAUGCAAGUCGAGCGCGUAGCAAUACGAGCGGCAGACGGGUGAGUAACGCGUGGGAAUCUACCCAUCACUACGGAAUAACCCAGGGAAACUUGGACUAAUACCGUAUACGACCGAGAGGUGAAAGAUUUAUCGGUGAUGGAUGAGCCCGCGUUGGAUUAGCUAGUUGGUGGGGUAAAGGCCUACCAAGGCGACGAUCCAUAGCUGGUCUGAGAGGAUGAUCAGCCACACUGGGACUGAGACACGGCCCAGACUCCUACGGGAGGCAGCAGUGGGGAAUAUUGGACAAUGGGCGCAAGCCUGAUCCAGCCAUGCCGCGUGAGUGAUGAAGGCCCUAGGGUUGUAAAGCUCUUUCACCGGUGAAGAUAAUGACGGUAACCGGAGAAGAAGCCCCGGCUAACUUCGUGC